Molecule: ribosomal RNA, 253 nt
Filed under: uncultured bacterium
Lineage: Bacteria
Description: partial 16S ribosomal RNA
Rfam family: Bacterial small subunit ribosomal RNA
Source: RNAcentral
AACGUAGGAGGCAAGCGUUAUCCGGAGUGACUGGGCGUAAAGAGCGUGUAGGCGGUUGAGUAAGUUGCGUGUGAAAGCGCCCGGCUAAACUGGGCGAGGACAGGCAAGACUGCUGAGCUAGAGGCCGAUAGAGGGGUGCGGAAUUCCGGGUGUAGCGGUGAAAUGUGUAGAGAUCCGGAGGAACACCAGUGGUGCAGAUGGCGCCCUGGAUCGGACCGGACGAUGAGACGCGAAAGCGUGGGGAGCGAACGGG